Molecule: transfer RNA, 76 nt
Filed under: Salmonella sp. FORC89
Lineage: Bacteria; Pseudomonadati; Pseudomonadota; Gammaproteobacteria; Enterobacterales; Enterobacteriaceae
Description: tRNA-Lys
Source: RNAcentral
AUUAGACAGCAGGGCCGCGUCGAAAUCGGUAAUAAUCUCCCCCAGCAUUUCGCGCUCAUCGCCUAACGCGCGUGAC